GAUAAACGCUGGCGGCGCACAUAAGACAUGCAAGUCGAACGGACUUAACUCAUUCUUUUAGUUUGAGAGCGGUUAGUGGCGGACUGGUGAGUAACACGUAAGCAACCUGCCUAUCAGAGGGGAAUAACAGUGAGAAAUCACUGCUAAUACCGCAUAUGCUAACAGUAUCGCAUGAUACAGUUAGGAAAGGAGCAAUCCGCUGAUAGAUGGGCUUGCGUCUGAUUAGCUAGUUGGUGGGGUAAUGGCCUACCAAGGCGACGAUCAGUAGCCGGACUGAGAGGUUGAACGGCCACAUUGGGACUGAGAUACGGCCCAGACUCCUACGGGAGGCAGCAGUCGGGAAUAUUGCGCAAUGGAGGAAACUCUGACGCAGUGACGCCGCGUAUAGGAAGAAGGUUUUCGGAUUGUAAAGCUCUGUCUUUAGGGACGAUAAUGACGGUACCUAAGGAGGAAGCCACGGCUAACUACGUGCCAGCAGCC
RNAcentral lists this ribosomal RNA (480 nucleotides) under uncultured bacterium. RNAcentral's name for it is "bacterial SSU rRNA". It matches the Rfam family "Bacterial small subunit ribosomal RNA", at positions 28 to 516 of the family's 1533-position model. The record is from RNAcentral.